This 998-nucleotide long non-coding RNA is filed under the name Homo sapiens (human). RNAcentral's name for it is "HSALNT0265207". The record is from RNAcentral. Lineage: Eukaryota; Metazoa; Chordata; Mammalia; Primates; Hominidae.
CACCACGCUGCCAGUAAAGGAAAUGGCCUGAAACCCUGUUCUCCGAUAUUGUUCAGGACAUAGUAGCCUGUACUCACUGCCUGUUUACUCAAGCGAAAGGGCUCAGACUGCUUCCUCUAACGGUUGCAGAGAAGGGCUGAAGCUUUGUCAGCUGAGCCUUUGAGAUCUGGCUGGCUGUGAAUGAAUAAUUAAACUCCUGCCAAUGCAAAGAAAACCAACCACCAGGACUCCCAGAUAGUAUCAAGAAACUGAAACUCACCAGAUCACUGCCUCUGGACCAUGAGAUGUCAGAUCCCUCACCUGUCACGAUUGCCUAACUGACCACCUGCUUCCUGUUGACCAUCUCCUCUUCCCUACCCUCCUUAGUUCUUGUUUUCCCAUACAUUGUUACAUUUCUUCCUUGCUCUAUAAACCUCUAAUUACAGUCAGUUGGGGAGAUGGAUGUGGGACUGAUCUCCCAUCUCCUUGGCUGCAGCACCCAAUUAAACCUUCUUUCCUGGCAAUACUCAUUGUCUCAGUGAUUGGCUUUCUGUGUGGUGAGCAGCAGGACGUAGGCCAAACCCCUGGUAUUUCAGUAACAUUUCCUUCUUGGAACACAGUCCCAUAUUGUAAGGAACCCAACCCACAUGGAGAGGCCAGGUGGAAGAGAGUGGAGGCACUCAGUCUAUGGUCCCAGCUUAGUUCCCAACUAACAGCCAGCAUCAACCACCAGCCAUGUAAGCUCUCCACUGUGGACAUUCAGCUCAGCCAAGGCCCCACCCAGUUGACUAGAGUCCCACCUGACAUCACAUGCAAAAGAGCUACCCAGGUGAGCCAAGUCAGCCUAUACAGUUAGAAAGAAAAUAAAAUGAUUGUUGUUUCUAAGAUGCUAAGUUUUGAGGUGGUUUGUUUUUGUGCAACAUAUGAUUGAAACAGACCUUCAAUAAAUGUCUUGGCUUCUAGUGAAGACUUUUUUUGUCAUCAUUUAUGACCUAAUAUGUUAGGAAUCCAGAAGGCAG